UGACGGUACCUGACUAAGAAGCCCCGGCUAACUACGUGCCAGCAGCCGCGGUAAUACGUAGGGGGCAAGCGUUAUCCGGAUUUACUGGGUGUAAAGGGAGCGUAGACGGAAUUGCAAGUCUGAAGUGAAAGCUCGGGGCUCAACCCCGGAACUGCUUUGGAAACUGUUUAGCUAGAGUACAGGAGAGGUAAGUGGAAUUCCUAGUGUAGCGGUGAAAUGCUUAGAUAUUAGGAGGAACACCAGUGGCGAAGGCGGCUUACUGGACGGUAACUGACGUUGAGGCUCGAAAGCGUGGGGAGCAAACAGGAUUAGAUACCCUG
Molecule: ribosomal RNA, 320 nt
Filed under: uncultured bacterium
Lineage: Bacteria
Description: bacterial SSU rRNA
Rfam family: Bacterial small subunit ribosomal RNA
Source: RNAcentral